GGGUUGUGAGGUUAAGCGACUAAGCGUACACGGUGGAUGCCCUGGCAGUCAGAGGCGAUGAAGGACGUGCUAAUCUGCGAAAAGCGUCGGUAAGGUGAUAUGAACCGUUACAGCCGGCGAUGUCCGAAUGGGGAAACCCAGUGCAAUUCGUUGCACUAUCGUUAACUGAAUACAUAGGUUAACGAGGCGAACCGGGGGAACUGAAACAUCUAAGUACCCCGAGGAAAAGAAAUCAACCGAGAUUCCCCCAGUAGCGGCGAGCGAACGGGGAGCAGCCCAGAGUCUGAAUCAGCUUGUGUGUUAGUGGAACGGUCUGGAAAGUCCGACGGUACAGGGUGAUAGUCCCGUACACCAAAAUGCACAGGCUGUGAACUCGAAGAGUAGGGCGGGACACGUGGUAUCCUGUCUGAAUAUGGGGGGACCAUCCUCCAAGGCUAAAUACUCCUGACUGACCGAUAGUGAACCAGUACCGUGAGGGAAAGGCGAAAAGAACCCCGGCGAGGGGAGUGAAAAAGAACCUGAAACCGUGUACGUACAAGCAGUGGGAGCACCUUCGGGUGUGACUGCGUACCUUUUGUAUAAUGGGUCAGCGACUUAUAUUCUGUAGCAAGGUUAACCGUAUAGGGGAGCCGCAGGGAAACCGAGUCUUAACUGGGCGUUAAGUUGCAGGGUAUAGACCCGAAACCCGGUGAUCUAGCCAUGGGCAGGUUGAAGGUUGGGUAACACUAACUGGAGGACCGAACCGACUAAUGUUGAAAAAUUAGCGGAUGACUUGUGGCUGGGGGUGAAAGGCCAAUCAAACCGGGAGAUAGCUGGUUCUCCCCGAAAGCUAUUUAGGUAGCGCCUCGUGAAUUCAUCUUCGGGGGUAGAGCACUGUUUCGGCUAGGGGGUCAUCCCGACUUACCAACCCGAUGCAAACUACGAAUACCGAAGAAUGUUAUCACGGGAGACACACGGCGGGUGCUAACGUCCGUCGUGAAGAGGGAAACAACCCAGACCGCCAGCUAAGGUCCCAAAGUCACAGUUAAGUGGGAAACGAUGUGGGAAGGCACAGACAGCCAGGAUGUUGGCUUAGAAGCAGCCAUCAUUUAAAGAAAGCGUAAUAGCUCACUGGUCGAGUCGGCCUGCGCGGAAGAUGUAACGGGGCUAAACUGUGCACCGAAGCUGCGGCAGCGACACU
This 1180-nucleotide ribosomal RNA is filed under the name Klebsiella aerogenes. RNAcentral describes it as "partial 23S ribosomal RNA". It matches the Rfam family "Bacterial large subunit ribosomal RNA", at positions 1 to 1215 of the family's 2925-position model. The record is from RNAcentral. Lineage: Bacteria; Pseudomonadati; Pseudomonadota; Gammaproteobacteria; Enterobacterales; Enterobacteriaceae.